This 1358-nucleotide ribosomal RNA is filed under the name uncultured bacterium. RNAcentral's name for it is "bacterial SSU rRNA". It matches the Rfam family "Bacterial small subunit ribosomal RNA", at positions 28 to 1381 of the family's 1533-position model. The record is from RNAcentral.
AUUGAACGCUGGCGGCAGGCCUAACACAUGCAAGUCGAGCGGUAGAGAGAAGCUUGCUUCUCUUGAGAGCGGCGGACGGGUGAGUAAUGCCUAGGAAUCUGCCUGGUAGUGGGGGAUAACGUUCGGAAACGGACGCUAAUACCGCAUACGUCCUACGGGAGAAAGCAGGGGACCUUCGGGCCUUGCGCUAUCAGAUGAGCCUAGGUCGGAUUAGCUAGUUGGUGAGGUAAUGGCUCACCAAGGCGACGAUCCGUAACUGGUCUGAGAGGAUGAUCAGUCACACUGGAACUGAGACACGGUCCAGACUCCUACGGGAGGCAGCAGUGGGGAAUAUUGGACAAUGGGCGAAAGCCUGAUCCAGCCAUGCCGCGUGUGUGAAGAAGGUCUUCGGAUUGUAAAGCACUUUAAGUUGGGAGGAAGGGCAGUAAAUUAAUACUUUGCUGUUUUGACGUUACCGACAGAAUAAGCACCGGCUAACUCUGUGCCAGCAGCCGCGGUAAUACAGAGGGUGCAAGCGUUAAUCGGAAUUACUGGGCGUAAAGCGCGCGUAGGUGGUUUGUUAAGUUGGAUGUGAAAUCCCCGGGCUCAACCUGGGAACUGCAUUCAAAACUGACUGACUAGAGUAUGGUAGAGGGUGGUGGAAUUUCCUGUGUAGCGGUGAAAUGCGUAGAUAUAGGAAGGAACACCAGUGGCGAAGGCGACCACCUGGACUAAUACUGACACUGAGGUGCGAAAGCGUGGGGAGCAAACAGGGUUAGAUACCCUGGUAGUCCACGCCGUAAACGAUGUCAACUAGCCGUUGGAAGCCUUGAGCUUUUAGUGGCGCAGCUAACGCAUUAAGUUGACCGCCUGGGGAGUACGGCCGCAAGGUUAAAACUCAAAUGAAUUGACGGGGGCCCGCACAAGCGGUGGAGCAUGUGGUUUAAUUCGAAGCAACGCGAAGAACCUUACCAGGCCUUGACAUCCAAUGAACUUUCUAGAGAUAGAUUGGUGCCUUCGGGAACAUUGAGACAGGUGCUGCAUGGCUGUCGUCAGCUCGUGUCGUGAGAUGUUGGGUUAAGUCCCGUAACGAGCGCAACCCUUGUCCUUAGUUACCAGCACGUAAUGGUGGGCACUCUAAGGAGACUGCCGGUGACAAACCGGAGGAAGGUGGGGAUGACGUCAAGUCAUCAUGGCCCUUACGGCCUGGGCUACACACGUGCUACAAUGGUCGGUACAGAGGGUUGCCAAGCCGCGAGGUGGAGCUAAUCCCAUAAAACCGAUCGUAGUCCGGAUCGCAGUCUGCAACUCGACUGCGUGAAGUCGGAAUCGCUAGUAAUCGCGAAUCAGAAUGUCGCGGUGAAUACGUUCCCGGGCCU